Long non-coding RNA from Rhipicephalus microplus (southern cattle tick), 1820 nucleotides. The record is from RefSeq and is a predicted model, not a curated record. Lineage: Eukaryota; Metazoa; Arthropoda; Arachnida; Ixodida; Ixodidae.
CAGCGAGCAACCGGACGUCGGUGCGCAAUCGUAUCAACGAGCGCUUUCUCGCUACCGUCAUCGAAACCGCCAGGAACGAGGAGAUCCCGGCUGAAAGCCAGACUGUGGCGCAGAAGGCGGCGCGUCUCUUCAAGACCUGCGACGACGUCUUGACCCAAGACACGGACUACGUGCCUCGCAUCCGCGGCCACCUGCGCGAGGUCAACCUGCACUGGCCUCAACACCCGGCCAAUCGCGACGCCGCCUCGGUGGACGUGGUGAGCACCAUGCUUGAGCUGAACGACAAUUGGGGCUGGCCGUGCUUCUUCGAGUUUGAAGCCGAGAAAGUCGGCGAUUAUUCGUUUGAGGUACGUGGAGGCCGUUACCAGCGAGAAAGAGUGAGACGGAACGACUUUGUUAUAAAACACGCCAUAUAGCCGCAGCGAAAGCUGGAGAAGCAGCAUUUCCACAGGCUAUUUGACAUGGGUGCCGCCAUCUUGGGCUGUGAAGUCAAUGAUUUCUUGUUUGGUGUAUUGCGGCGUGAAUAAAUGAGGCCAUGAAACGCCGUAUGCACCGACCAAGCUGCUUUCAUGUGUAUGCGUCUACUGCAACACUGUUCAAUUAUUUGUUAAGGACGCGAAACACAAAGGCGAACAGCAAAGCAUGGCAGCACUAAAACACCUCGGUAGAAUAGUCUAUAGAGCCCGUCGUAAAUACGGCUGUGGAGCUAUGGCUGUGCAUUUCGUAAUGAGCUGGGAGCAUUGGACGAUCCACUCAUUGAGCAUUUCGCAUUGUGUGAGGCCUGCUUGGUGUUUUACUCUUUUCCCACGAUAAAUUACACGUGUUUGUGUGAUUCCUUGCCCGAUAUGACACCUGUAUAGGAUAUUUUUGUGAAAGAUUUUCAAACACUGACGCAGCUCUACGGUAUAAUACUCGACUGCCACAAAUAAGGUUAUGGUGCAACUUCCGUGUGAUCUUAAAAGUUCUAUGGGAACAACUUAGGCAUCAAGACCAGUUGCUGUUGUGAUCCUGCAGCAGCUUUCUCUGUGAAAUAAACCAACCCAGACCUCGUCUUCAGAAAGAAGCAAGACCUAGUCAUCAGACAGGCUUUAGAAGUUCAAAUGUUCGAAUAGUGUCUUCAUGAUGUAUGGUGAAAAAAGUCCGUCAGCCAUGCACUCCUCCAGGGUCGCAGGUCUUAGAUUGGUAGGUAUGCGCCCUAUGUAACAGUAGAGCGCACCCACUUGUUUUGUCAGUGAGUCUUGCUGAAACAGAAUGUAAACACUGCGUGGGUUAAAAACACUGUUGCUAUGAAUGCGAGAAUAUUGACAUGAUGGAUACGUUGUCCUGCGUACUGUGUACCGCAACAAUCAAAUCGUCAGCCUCCGUGCAAUGUUACAUUGGCUACGAUGCUCGGCUUCUGACCCUAAAGUCAUGGGUUACAUCCCAACCGCGAAUUCGAUCGUAUUUCGAUGAAGAUGGAAUGCUAGAGACCCACAGAGUGUGUGCUGUCAGUGCACGCUCGAUAUCAGGUGGUUCAAAAGAAUAGAGCCCUCUAUACUGCGGCAUGCAUCGUAAUCGUAUCCUUGUCCCCGCUCGUUCAAACCAUGACGUUGUAAUUAUAAUUAGGAGCUGAUUAUCAAUUUAUUUAAUUGGGACAGUUUACAGUGGUACAACACCUCCAUCGUGCCAUUCCCAAUCGCGCGCGCGCAUUUACGUGUGUGUGAAUGUGCGCGUGCGUGUGAUUCAGUGUGUGUUUCAGAUGGCGCUCAAAGGAACCAAGGUUGCGCUAAGAGAAUUAAAUGUUUGGAGCUGUAGCACGCAAUAAAAAACUUUAGGCACAA